Non-coding RNA from Triticum aestivum (bread wheat), 115 nucleotides. NCBI's taxonomy places the organism in Eukaryota, Viridiplantae, Streptophyta, Magnoliopsida, Poales, Poaceae. The record is from Rfam.
UAUAUACUCCCUCCGUCCAAAAAAGUUUGUCCCACAAAUGGAUGUAUCUAGUAUCAAGUUAGUGCUAGAUACAUCCAUUUGAGGGACAAACUUUUUCGGACGGAGGGAGUAUUUU